Molecule: ribosomal RNA, 497 nt
Filed under: uncultured bacterium
Lineage: Bacteria
Description: partial 16S ribosomal RNA
Rfam family: Bacterial small subunit ribosomal RNA
Source: RNAcentral
GAUGAACGCUGGCGGCGUGCCUAAUACAUGCAAGUCGAGCGAACGGACGAGAAGCUUGCUUCUCUGAUGUUAGCGGCGGACGGGUGAGUAACACGUGGAUAACCUACCUAUAAGACUGGGAUAACUUCGGGAAACCGGAGCUAAUACCGGAUGAUAUUUUGAACCGCAUGGUUCAAAAGUGAAAGACGGUCUUGCUGUCACUUAUAGAUGGAUCCGCGCUGCAUUAGCUAGUUGGUAAGGUAACGGCUUACCAAGGCAACGAUGCAUAGCCGACCUGAGAGGGUGAUCGGCCACACUGGAACUGAGACACGGUCCAGACUCCUACGGGAGGAAGCAGUAGGGAAUCUUCCGCAAUGGGCGAAAGCCUGACGGAGCAACGCCGCGUGAGUGAUGAAGGUCUUCGGAUCGUAAAACUCUGUUAUUAGGGAAGAACAUAUGUGUAAGUAACUGUGCACAUCUUGACGGUACCUAAUCAGAAAGCCACGGCUAACUACGUG